Herpailurus yagouaroundi (jaguarundi) is the source of this 5668-nucleotide long non-coding RNA. RefSeq lists it as uncharacterized. The record is from RefSeq and is a predicted model, not a curated record. Lineage: Eukaryota; Metazoa; Chordata; Mammalia; Carnivora; Felidae. The transcript is spliced from 2 exons.
GGCCGUGAGGUCACUGACCCCCUAGUCUGUGAUGUGAUGCUGAAAUGGAUGGGUGGGUGGGUGCAUGUCUGCAGCAGCUGUGUGGUGAUGAGGCAGAGGUGCGGUGUGUUUGAAUGUCCUUUGGUUGGUUGUGUGAUCAUAGCUGGUGACAUUCUACCUCAUAAACAAAUAUACCCUCGGGGGUACACAUUAAAGCUCAGUAAACAGUGACUUUUUUCACAUUCUUAUAGAUACUGUCUGCUAUUUAGAAAUUAGUGACAAUUGAACAGUAAUCUCCCGGGAGACAAAUUUUGCAGUUUGGUUUUUAUUAUCUUGGUUCCUAGUAUAAUUUUUCAUUUUAACCUCAGGAUUGGUUUUCAAAAAAGUAGUUUUCAAAAAAGAAAAUUCUUAAACUUUUCUAUGUUCUCUGUUACUUCUUUUGUGUUUUAUGGUGCUGUGUCUUAGCAAUUCCGUUCUGUUGGAGCCAUCACCUGGGUUUGGCUGGCUUGCAUUUCUUUCAUUAAUUUAGCAUCAGGAAACUUGCACAGUGAUGAAUUUUUUAAUUAUGUUUUGAGAGAUUUUUUUCCUGACACCUACACUCCAGUUGCUUUUUCCUGCUUCCCUCACUACAGUUUUUAAGGAAAAUUGUCAGUAAGUGUCAUUAUUCAGGCCACAUGUGGAUUGCUAAUGACAGCAGUUAAAAGAUCAUGUUUCUGUUUUACUUUCUAUUUAGCAGAGCGCUUUCACAGGCUCUGUCUCCUGUGGUUUUUAUAACCAACAGGUGACUUACUUAUUGCGCCUUCAUGUUGCAGACAAGGAAUCCGAGGAUACGGCACGAGGCAGCUCGGGCAGUUCACCCCAGGGCUGGGCUGGUCGACCACAUAAGGCUCUCGGUUCUGUUUCACGCCUCCUCCCAGUAGUGGGGGUGACAGAACGAACCCUCACCCCCCACCCUUUCCUGUACAGAGCUGUCUCCCUGACAUCUUGGCUGUACUCCUUCCCAGGAGGGAGGAAGAGGUAGGGCAGAUCUUAGGGUAUCACUGGUCAUCAUCUGCGGAAGAAGAGUGGGCUUGAAAGGCAGCCAAUGCUGAGGGCCGCCCCUUUGCCACACACCCCCAGGACGCCUGGAUGUGGGGACAGUGUGGGGAUGGAAUGAAGCGGGAGCUGGUUCUCAACCCCACCUUCUGUUUUCCAGAGAUGUGUGAACAGCCAGCAUGUGUCAGGAACCCAUCCUCAUUCUGGUGUCCCAGGCCUCUUUCAGAUAGCCAGGAGGGUGGAGGCAGGCACACACGGGCCGUCAGCUUUCUGUGAAAUGCUUCAGCUACCUCACUGUCUUAAUGCUACUAUGUUAGUAUUGUACGUGUGUAUACAAUACGGUACAAGUCAUGCGUACAGUAAACACAAGUAGGUUCACAUAAACAUAAACAUAGUCACAUAUAGGGGAGACUCACAGGUAUAGACACCCACGUAGACACAGUCACAUAUACAGUAGACACACAAGUACUGACACAUAUAGAUGCAUACAAAGUCACACGUACGUACAGUGGACACAGGUACAUACAUAGACACACACUCAUACACCAAUGUACAUAUAACCCCACAAAGUAAAUACAUAUGUAGAUACACGUGUAAACACAGACGCAUGUAGACACAUAGGUACGCAGCACACAUGUAGACCCACAAACGUAACCACAUAGGUACACACGCAGAUACAGACACACAGGUGCAUAUGUAGACCCAUAGACACACGUGUAGGCACAUGUGUAGAUCUGUACACAGACACACACAUGUAGACACACGUGGACACCGACACGCACAGACACAUGCGGAUGUGUAGACAUGUACAUGUAGACACACGUUUACUAUCACCGGUAUCUUCAGUUCUCACAGAGACUAGUUAAGUGUUCUUUUUUCCAUCUUCUAGAUGAGAAACUAGAAGUUCAGGGAGGUAUGUGAUUGUUAACGAUAGCCCAGUGAAUAGCUCAUCAAAACGGUGCAAGUCUAGCUUUGUCUGGUCUGUUAUCUGGCUUCUUACCACAUAGAAGACUGCAGCUUGUCGUGUUCUCCAGGCUCUAACUUUCUGUGUUAAAUUUUUUUUUAAUUGGAAAUUAAGACAUAGCACAGUCUAUUUCCUGUGUUACCUCUGUUUCCUAAUGAGGAGGGGUGGGGAGGAUAACCCUAAGUUUACCUGGCAUUUGCUAAGGUAUAUUUUGCUAAUCCUCCUGGCUAUUGUAGGAGACAGGAGAGGUGCUGCUUGCCUCAUUGUUUUUCUUUUCAAAGAGAAAAGAAAACCUCUGUCGUUGAGAGAGGUUGACAAAGUAGGAAACGGUGCUGGAGCUGCCUUGGCCUCAGGUGCAUUUCCAUGAGCCUGUGUAGGGAGAGUGGAGUAGAUGUGGGAGGGAAGCGUGGGUGGAGGGUGGUAGUGGAGGAAAUUGCACCUGUCUCCAUCCGGGCCACCUGGAGCCCUCCUUCGGAAUCUCUGCUCACAUCAGACAGCAUCCCCAUGAGGUGGUGUAACACCUGUUGUGCUUGGUGUCUGCCCUUUCCAGUUAGAACCCAGACUCGGGGAUGAGCUCAGAGCUCAGCCUGCUUUGGGCAAAGGAGCUCACAGUCCAAGGGAAGAGCUGGACCAGUGACCCAGUGUUAGCUGGUGACACUCCUCUGCUCUGUACUCCUGUAGCUUCCGUCGGUCUGAGAGUAAGACUCGCAUCUACCGUCUGUGUGGUCUGGGUUCCCGUUAUUCCCUGGUCUUUCAUAUCAUCCUCCUCCCACAGCUCUGCUGGCUUCUGGAUGUUUCUUGAGCACCUGAUUGCUAUGGGGCCUUUCGCUCCCUGCUCCUGCUGCCUAGAAUGUUCUCUCAUGUAUAUACAUUGCUUGUUACCUUUCCAUCAGAUCUGUGCUCAAGGGUUACUGCUUUUGUGAGGCAUUCCCUGACCAGCCUGUUAAAAUGGUAAGACACGGUAUCACCUUGUGUGUAGUCCCUACCCUUCCCCUCCUGAUUUUAUGUGUGUCCAUUGAGUUACCAACCCCAGCACUAUCAGCCAUCUGUCUUCCUGCCUACCUGCCUGUCGUCUGUCCAUCUAUCUGUCAUUUUGCUACCUAUGUUAGUAAUCCGUGUACCAAUUUAUCCACCUGUCUGUCUACCGUGGGAAUGUAAGGCUCACAAAGACCAGGGUCUUUCUUGUUUAUUCAUGUAUGGCAAGCAUUGAAAAUGGUGCCUAGUUGAUAGUUCUGGAAGGAAGGAAGGUGAAGGAGCAUAGCACAUUUGGGGAAAAGCAAGAAGGUGGGAUGGCCAGAUUUUGAGAUCUGUUGUGUACUGUGCCUGAGAACUUAGACGUUAUAUUGAAGAUGACAGGGUACUCCUUGAAGAUUUUAUGCAAAGGCAUAAGAGGAGAGGAUUUAGGGUUUGGGAAAGACUUUCGCAGCUUUAUGGCCUAUGGAUUGCACGUAGAGGAAUUGGAAAAACUCUGAGAUUGAUGCACGUUUAGGAGAGGCAUCCAUGCCAGUGAGAUCUGACAUCUGUUUAGAAGGUGACAGCAACAGGACCUUGAGGCUGGGUCAGCAUGGGGGGCACGUGAGGUGGGAAUUCCUGGUGACUGGUGCCCUCCAGCUGUGUGGGUGAUGGUCUCCAGUUCCUCUUUAGAGGAUUAAGGUUUUUGUAAGUUAAAGAUGGUGGGAUUUGUCCUGCUGUUCACUGUGUAAAGAAUACUAUGAAAAUGUUAUUCCUUAUAGACUUCUAAUUUUUUAAAAUUCAUACUACUGUCAAUUUUGAAUAAAUAAUAACUGCUUAAUUUACGUAUAGGGGAAACCUAUCCAGAAGUUCUUUGCAUGUGCUUGUGAAUCUCAGCGGGGUUUCAUCAGGACUGUCAUCUCCUAUGACCCACACAGAGCACCUCCCCAGUGUCUCGUGGCCACCCUGGAGGAGUGCUUGUGAGGGCUCGUGGGUCACGAUUCAGCCCAUUUGAUGGUCUCACUCAUGACCUUAUUCUCUGCUAUUUCCUGUUGUUAAAAUAGACUAGUCAUGAGUUUUCUUAAUUUAGACAUUUCACUAAUACACUGUAAGUUACUUUCUCUUACAGUAUAUAUUCACAUAUCAUUUUUUAAAAUAUGAUGUGAAACUUUAAGAGCUUAUUGUAGUCUAUGGCCAGUGUACAGGUGUCAGGAUUUUCUGGUUUGUUUUUUCCUGAGCCAGCAUGGAAGAUUUAAGAGACUCAAAAGAAAAAGUUUUGUGGCCCUCAGGAGAUUUUGUUUUCUAAAAUUCUUAGACCACUCAGUUUGCAGCAGAGGUACUUUGGAUGCUUUAGUGAUCAAAUGACAUCAACCAAGAAGUAAUUCUAUUAUCUCAUUGAUAAUUGCCCUAAUUAACACUCAAUCCAGUCAGCCAUAUAGCCUCAAAUUUAAUCUCUCUUGCUAUGCUUUUCCAUUUCAUUUCCAAACCCAUGGUCUUCCAUUGUAAUGAAGUCCUACUGGAAUUCUUUAUAGUAGUGUGUACCUUUCUCUUUUUAAAAUAACUUUAUUUGGAAACUUAAAUUUGAUUUGGAAAGUGAAUGAAUGCAUGAAUGAACAAACAGGCAUUUCCUGAGUACCUAGAAAAUGUCAAACUCUGUAUUAGGAAGUCUGUUACUCUUACUGAAUAAGUCUAGGUUGGAGCUUAAAGGGAGUUUAGCUGUUUUUUUACACCCUUUUCCCCCAACCAGGAGUCCUAGAAAAAACUUGAAGAUUUGUGUUGUUUCUAUUCCUACCAGGACCAACUAGGAUACCUUAAAAUAAACAUGGAGCAUACAGUUUCCUACUAUAGUAUGUUUAAAAUGAUGGUUUUGUCUCUUGGUGAGCUGACACACAGCUUUAAAAAGCACAUCCCAGUUCAUAUGUGUGCCUGGACCAGAGAGGUUGCCUUCCAGGGGCCCGACACUCCGGGUGGAACACCACAGAGCCCUGUCUCCCUCCUGCGCAGCAGACUGAGAUAGGUCCAGGGACCCAGGGGGACCCCCACCCUCCAGGGACAUCUGUGAGGUCAGACUGUUGCCAGAGUAACACUGUCACAUGAUCUGCUGUGUCCACACCCAUCCCCUCCUGGUCCUACGUGGAUUUUCCUGAGGCUGCUGGACACGUGCUGCGUUCUGACAGUUGGUGCAGAUGGUGAUUGUGAAAUCUCACAUUUUAAAAAGUUUUUCAGUUUACUUUCUAAUACAGUAAACAUCAAGACGUCAGUCCUAUAAACAAAAGCUUUUAAAACGUUUUCACCCCUUUUUAACAGUUUAAAAAACAUCCUUUGGGUCUAAGAGUUUGAGAACCACUGCUAUGUGGUAAAAAUGAAAUUCCUCUUUCAAACUUGAGAGAGGAUAUGAGCUACAGACUUCCACGUGCGAACCCCUUCCCGAGGCUGGCUCUGCGCUGCUGACGGUUUACAGUCUGACUUACUCCAGCGAUCAGUUGCCGGUGUCCCGUUCAACACGUGUGCAGACACUUUCGCGUGCUGCGCUUUUGCUGUGCACUGUCGCCGUAUUUAAGACCGGCGGCUGCUGCACCGGGCAGUGCAGGCGUAGAAAACUGCCACAGCAGAAGGUGUCAUCCCACGGAGCCGUGCUAGAACCACGGCUGUGAGAGACUUGGAAGAUGGAAGAUGUGGUUGAAGACAGACCAUAAAGGCCUAUUUGUCCAAAACUAAUGAAAACGAACUCAUUUUUGA